Molecule: ribosomal RNA, 305 nt
Filed under: uncultured bacterium
Lineage: Bacteria
Description: bacterial SSU rRNA
Rfam family: Bacterial small subunit ribosomal RNA
Source: RNAcentral
UUUUCCCUACGGGACGCAGCAGUGGGGAAUAUUGCACAAUGGGGGAAACCCUGAUGCAGCGACGCCGCGUGAGUGAAGAAGUAUCUCGGUACGUAAAGCUCUAUCAGCAGGGAAGAAAAAAAGUCUUUGGCUUUGGACGGUACCUGACUAAGAAGCCCCGGCUAACUACGUGCCAGCAGCCGCGGUAAUACGUAGGGGGCAAGCGUUAUCCGGAUUUACUGGGUGUAAAGGGAGCGUAGACGGCAUGGCAAGUCUGAAGUGAAAGCCCGGGGCUCAACCGCGGGACUGCUUUGGAAACUGUUAAG